Molecule: small nuclear RNA, 83 nt
Filed under: Zalophus californianus (California sea lion)
Lineage: Eukaryota; Metazoa; Chordata; Mammalia; Carnivora; Otariidae
Description: U4 spliceosomal RNA (ENSZCAG00015004576.1)
Rfam family: U4 spliceosomal RNA (bases 1-68)
About the family: U4 small nuclear RNA (U4 snRNA) is a component of the major U2-dependent spliceosome. The structure of U4 snRNA from yeast and human has been reported.
Source: RNAcentral
AGCUUUGCGCAGUGGCAGUAUUGUAGCCAAUGAGGUUUAUCUGAGGCGCGAUUAUUGCUAAUUGAAUUUGGAAAAAAAAAAGG